GAUGAACGCUAGCGGGAGGCUUAACACAUGCAAGCCGAGGGAGAAGUUGUUUUCGGACAACGGACACCGGCGGACGGGUGAGUAACAUGUAUGCAACUUGCCUCUAUCAGUGGUAUAACCCGGGUAAACCCGGACUAAUACCGCAUAACAAAUGUAUCAGCAUUGAUUUAUUUUAAAAGAUUUAUCGGAUAGAUAUAGGCAUGCGUAGGAUUAGUUAGUUGGUGAGGUAACGGCUAACCAAGACGAUGAUCCUUAGGGGGCCUGAGAGGGUGAUCCCCCACACUGGUACUGAGACACGGACCAGAAUACUACGGGAGGCAGCAGUGAGGAAUAUUGGACAAUGGGUGAGAGCAUGAUCCAGCCAACCCGCGUGCAGGAAGACGGCCCUAUGGGUUGUAAACUGCUUUUAUACGGGAAUAAACCUACUCACGUGUGAGUAGUCGAAGGUACUGUAAGAAUAAGCAUCGGCUAACUCCGUG
RNAcentral lists this ribosomal RNA (479 nucleotides) under uncultured bacterium. RNAcentral describes it as "partial 16S ribosomal RNA". It matches the Rfam family "Bacterial small subunit ribosomal RNA", at positions 28 to 507 of the family's 1533-position model. The record is from RNAcentral.